AGCUUCCAACACCCAGCCGUUGCUGGGCACGAUCUAAAUACCUGCCCAGCCGGGACCCACAGCUGCCGGGGGGAAUCAAGUCAGGGAAGGACGGUCCCACGGAUCUUUCGAGCCACUGACGGUCUCUGGUUAGGCGACUUUGGCGUCCUUAGAGCAAAGAAGCUUUCCUAUUCUCAAAAGUUCUGGCCCUGGGCCCUUGAGCCCGGGGGAUACCGGGAAGGCUGCGGAAGGGGAGGAACUAGAAGCUGAGGACCGGACUCCAACAAAACUGCAAGAGUCUGUGGUUGCAUCCCCACCUCGCCAAAUCCUCCCGCGUGAGCGUAGGCUCCUCCCGCUUUCUAUUGGAUGGAGGCAAAUACCGGGCAACCGAUGUCUCAAAGACCAAAACCACCCCCAAGUCCUCCCUGAGAGUAGUAAUUUGCUGUUAAUGUGGAGGAACAUUCUAACUCGGAAUAUUAACUGCCGCUGCUUUCGGGGAGCCUUUGUGUCUGGGGAGAGGCGAAGAAGAGGGGUGCUUCAAGUAAAAAUGUGGAGCUGGAAUGGCCCGGAGCCACCCUGACCAGCACUGACGAGGUAUCCCGGCGGAGGCCACUUAGGAAACCGCGCCUGAUAAGAAAACAUAACUUUUGGUCUGAAAUGGUGAAUCCUAGCUACAAGUCAAACUAAUACUUGCCUGAAUUGUUUUUUCUGGUCACUCAACACAUCUGUCCUUGCUGAACUUGCAAGCCUUGAAACCUCAAUCAACACUCAAAGAAUGCUUUGGCCCUUGAAAAGAAAAAUGUGAUGACUAAUGACUCAUUUCAUACCAAUUACACCUGUAGGAAGCCCAAAUGUUCUGCAGCAGAACAUCAUGACCAUCACUUACUGGAUUGCCUGCAUCAUGCCCCUCUGAACACACUAUGAAGUAAGAAGCUGAUGAGCUUACCAAUAAUGUGUCACGACUUCUCUGACCUUCAAAAUUUAGUUCUUCACACACUUGAAAACAACCAAGAAGCCUUUCCAAGCCACAUGAGCAAAAGCAUCUCUCUCUAAUUCAAGAACAGAAUUGCAGGUUCCCAGGGCCAAGAAAUUUUGUUGGUUGCUUUAAGAUAAAGCAGACAUUCAAGAAGCAAAAACUAGGAUCUAAUCUUUGCUUCAGGUUUGGAUGAUUUCAACUCUCUCACAUAUAUGGCUCUUCUAAGACCUUAUUCUCUGAAUGUUUGUUUAUGGGGUACCAAAAAUAUAUACCCCAGACUUCACUGUGCAGCAUCUGCCAUAUUCUCCUGAGAUUUCCAGAACAUGUCCUCUUAAAAGACAAAAACAAGAAAGUCUUUUCUCUACUUCAGUCUAAAUCCUCUGAUCACAUAAGGCUUAAUUGCAGGAAGAAAAGCUUGGAGAGGAUCCAGGAAACCCAAUAUCCUAAACUAGUUUUUUGUGACAGCUUCU
This is a long non-coding RNA of Zalophus californianus (California sea lion), 1425 nucleotides long. RefSeq lists it as uncharacterized. The transcript is spliced from 3 exons. Lineage: Eukaryota; Metazoa; Chordata; Mammalia; Carnivora; Otariidae. The record is from RefSeq and is a predicted model, not a curated record.